UACGUAGGGGGCUAGCGUUGCUCGGAAUCACUGGGCGUAAAGCGCACGUAGGCGGCUUUCUAAGUCAGGGGUGAAAUCCUGGAGCUCAACUCCAGAACUGCCUUUGAUACUGGAGAGCUAGAGUCCGGAAGAGGUGAGUGGAACUGCGAGUGUAGAGGUGAAAUUCGUAGAUAUUCGCAAGAACACCAGUGGCGAAGGCGGCUCACUGGUCCGGUACUGACGCUGAGGUGCGAAAGCGUGGGGAGCAAACAGG
RNAcentral lists this ribosomal RNA (253 nucleotides) under uncultured bacterium. Its description in RNAcentral is "partial 16S ribosomal RNA". It matches the Rfam family "Bacterial small subunit ribosomal RNA", at positions 524 to 776 of the family's 1533-position model. The record is from RNAcentral.